UACGACCGCAUCAUCUUGAAACACCGGUUCUCGUACGAUCACCGAAGUUAAGCAACGUCGAGCUUGGUUAAUAUCUUGAUGGGUGACUGCUUGAAAAUAGCAAG
Non-coding RNA from Acanthosepion pharaonis, 104 nucleotides. The record is from the annotation of a GenBank genome assembly. NCBI's taxonomy places the organism in Eukaryota, Metazoa, Mollusca, Cephalopoda, Sepiida, Sepiidae.